Molecule: transfer RNA, 70 nt
Filed under: Capra hircus (goat)
Lineage: Eukaryota; Metazoa; Chordata; Mammalia; Artiodactyla; Bovidae
Also listed under: 1 other name
Rfam family: tRNA
About the family: Transfer RNA (tRNA) molecules are approximately 80 nucleotides in length. Their secondary structure includes four short double-helical elements and three loops (D, anti-codon, and T loops).
Source: Rfam by way of RNAcentral
UCUUGUAGCUCAGUUGGUAAAGAAUCUGCCUGCAAAGCAGGAGACCAAGGUUCGAUCCCUGGGCCAGGAA